GCGGAAGUAGCUCAGUGGUAGAGCACCACCUUGCCAAGGUGGGGGUCGCGAGUUCGAAUCUCGUCUUCCGCU
RNAcentral lists this transfer RNA (72 nucleotides) under Pectinatus cerevisiiphilus. It matches the Rfam family "tRNA". Rfam says of the family: Transfer RNA (tRNA) molecules are approximately 80 nucleotides in length. Their secondary structure includes four short double-helical elements and three loops (D, anti-codon, and T loops). Further hydrogen bonds mediate the characteristic L-shaped molecular structure. tRNAs have two regions of fundamental functional importance: the anti-codon, which is responsible for specific mRNA codon recognition, and the 3' end, to which the tRNAs corresponding amino acid is attached (by aminoacyl-tRNA synthetases). tRNAs cope with the degeneracy of the genetic code in two manners: having more than one tRNA (with a specific anti-codon) for a particular amino acid; and 'wobble' base-pairing, i.e. permitting non-standard base-pairing at the 3rd anti-codon position. The record is from Rfam by way of RNAcentral. Lineage: Bacteria; Bacillati; Bacillota; Negativicutes; Selenomonadales; Selenomonadaceae.